UGGGCAAAGCCUGACGCAGCGACGCCGCGUGGGGGAUGAAGCUUUUCGGAGCGUAAACCCCUUUCGACCCGGACGAAUGCCCGCAAGGGUUUGACGGUACGGGUAGAAGAAGCCCCGGCUAACUACGUGCCAGCAGCCGCGGUAAAACGUAGGGGGCCAGCGUUGCUCGGAAUUACUGGGCGUAAAGGGUCUGUAGGCGGUGCGGCAAGUCGGAAGUGAAAUCGCAGGGCUCAACUCUGCGGCUGCUCCCGAAACUGCCGUGCUCGAGUGCGAGAUAGGCGAGUGGAAUUGCAGGUGUAGCGGUGAAAUGCGUAGAUAUCUGCAGGAACAUCCGAGGCGAAAGCGGCUCGCUGGAUCGCAACUGACGCUGAGAGACGAAAGCUAGGGGAGCAAACAGGAUUAGAUACCCUGGUAGUCCUAGCCCUAAACGAUCAGGACUUGGCGUGGGCCCUGUACGGGGCUCGUGCCGUAGCUAACGCGAUAAGUCCUGCGCCUGGGGAGUACGGUCGCAAGGCUGAAACUCAAAAAAAUUGACGGA
RNAcentral lists this ribosomal RNA (538 nucleotides) under uncultured bacterium. RNAcentral describes it as "bacterial SSU rRNA". It matches the Rfam family "Bacterial small subunit ribosomal RNA", at positions 372 to 917 of the family's 1533-position model. The record is from RNAcentral.